GUGACGGCCUGCCGUGGCAGGGACUCAGAGGGCCAUAGAGACGACGGUGGGUAUGGGGCCUCCGGCGGGCGCCCCUCGCGGGGCCCGGGGGCUCCCCCUGGAGCCGCCCGCCGAGGCAACGACGUGGUAGGUUCGCGGUGGUGUGGAGUCGUGGACUCGGCAAUGAUCCCUCCGCUGGUUCACCAACGGAGA
This 192-nucleotide unclassified non-coding RNA is filed under the name uncultured fungus. RNAcentral's name for it is "sequence contains ITS1". The record is from RNAcentral. Lineage: Eukaryota; Fungi.